CACUUGUGAAUAAGUGCUCCGGUUAAUCAACUCAAGCACUUGCACAAGUUUUCCUCCAAAAAGUAACGAAACCCAAAACUUCCUCGGCGCCGUUUCAUUUCUCAAACUCACUCUCUCAAACUCUCAAGUCACUCUCUCAAACUCAAGUCACUCCCUCGGAGAUCGCACAUUCGCACUUUGUCUCCUCUCAGUCGGCUGGUCGUCACCUCGUCGUGGUCGGUCCGCGGUCCGUUCAAUUAGUGGUGCGUCGGUUGUCGGAGUAUUGGAGAAAAUGGGGAGAGUUUUCGUUGUUGCCACUGCCGUUGCUCAGAGAAGUAGUGUUGGUUAUAUCUUGUAGUUGGUGUUGUAUUUGGAGGUUUUAAAGAUGAGUGAUAACUUGGUGGAUAAAGUGACCUCUUUAGGUGAACGUCUAAGGAUCGGCGGGAGUGAAGUUAGUAAGAAAAUAAGUGCUAGUGUGAGUUCUAUGAGUGACAAAAUGAAGGAACUAUUCUAAGGGCCGAAUCAGGCAGAUAAGAUUGUUGAGGAGGCGACUGCAAAGAGUUAAUGAGUUUGAGAUACAUUUUUCUUUUGGUCAAGUGUGAUGUAAGAGAUAUCCUUAGAGCUAUAGCUUCAUAAUGAAAACAGAAAAUCAAAUUGAAUGCAGGAGAUGGUUUAUUAUAAAGAAGCAAAAAUGGACUAAAAUUUAGGUUUAGGUUUUGACCUUCUCUUUGUUGUCGAGCAAAAAAGAAAAGAGAAAGCUGGGAAAUGGGAGGUUCCAUUACCCAAGUUGUUCCUCGGGUUAGACCAGUUGCUGAAGACGAAAUGUUCAAAGUUAUAAGGAUUCCACUGUUUGAAAUCCAUUCUAGAAUAGAAGGGAGAAGGUGGCAGCUAAUAUGUAAGUACAUAAGAUAGAAGGUACCGACUCUUGGAUAUUGAUUUAGUCGUUUGUUACUAAUAGGUUGGAACUGGCGUUGUUACUAGGAGUGAUGGGAGGAUGGCACUUGGAAGACUAGGUGCACUUUGUGAGCAGUUUUGCUGAUCUGCAAAAGCCGCAAGCUGAACUUGAUGGGAAAGCAUGUGCUGCUGUUGGACAGAACAAUCUCAUGGCUCUCUAUGACACAUUGUUUAGUCAAGUCCUAAUCUAAGUAGCUCAUGGUUGUGGAAAAGCUGUUUUUGAAUGGCGGGGGCUUUUUGACAUACGUAGUUUGUUUAUACAUAGUGAAUGUUUUUGCAGUUGGAUCCAGUUUUUUGCAAUGUUACUUUGUUUAGAGAUUGUUCCCAUGUUGUGAAUUUGUAGCAAACUUUUUUUGAGUAGUAAAUGAAAUAUUUGACUAAGUUGAGUUGUGAA
Beta vulgaris subsp. vulgaris (sugar beet) is the source of this 1327-nucleotide RNA transcript. It is a transcript of the gene named delta-1-pyrroline-5-carboxylate synthase-like, with no coding region annotated. NCBI's taxonomy places the organism in Eukaryota, Viridiplantae, Streptophyta, Magnoliopsida, Caryophyllales, Amaranthaceae. The transcript is spliced from 7 exons. The record is from RefSeq and is a predicted model, not a curated record.